Molecule: ribosomal RNA, 250 nt
Filed under: uncultured bacterium
Lineage: Bacteria
Description: partial 16S ribosomal RNA
Rfam family: Bacterial small subunit ribosomal RNA
Source: RNAcentral
UAACGAAUAUUGGGCAAUGGGCGAAAGCCUGACCCAGCAAUGCCGCGUGCGGGAGGAAGUCCUUCGGGAUGUAAACCGCUGUCAGGGUCCGCCAAGCGAUGCGGGUGAAUAAUCCGCAAAGUUGAGGAGACCCAGAGGAAGCCUCGGCUAACUCUGUGCCAGCAGCCGCGGUAAGACAGAGGAGGCAAGCGUUGUUCGGAAUUACUGGGCUUAAAGCGCGUGCAGGCGGCCGCGUAAGUGUCGUGUGAAA